This 235-nucleotide ribosomal RNA is filed under the name uncultured Actinomycetales bacterium. Its description in RNAcentral is "partial 16S ribosomal RNA". It matches the Rfam family "Bacterial small subunit ribosomal RNA", at positions 96 to 334 of the family's 1533-position model. Lineage: Bacteria; Bacillati; Actinomycetota; Actinomycetes; Actinomycetales. The record is from RNAcentral.
UGGCGAACGGGUGAGUAACACGUGGGUGAUCUGCCCUGCACUCUGGGAUAAGCCUGGGAAACUGGGUCUAAUACCGGAUAGGACCAUGCUUUAGUGUGUGUGGUUGAAAGUUUUCUCGGUGUAGGAUGAGCCCGCGGCCUAUCAGCUUGUUGGUGGGGUAAUGGCCUACCAAGGCGGCGACGGGUAGCCGGACUGAGAGGUUGGUCGGCCACAUUGGGACUGAGAUACGGCCCAG